UACAGAGGGUGCGAGCGUUAAUCGGAAUUACUGGGCGUAAAGGGUGCGUAGGUGGUUAAAUAAGUUAGGUGUGAAAUUCCCGGGCUUAACCUGGGGACUGCGCCUAAUACUGUUUAGCUAGAGUAUUGUAGAGGAAAGUGGAAUUUCCGGUGUAGCGGUGAAAUGCGUAGAUAUCGGAAGGAACAUCAGUGGCGAAGGCGACUUUCUGGACAAAUACUGACACUGAGGCACGAAAGCAUGGGGAGCAAACAGG
This 253-nucleotide ribosomal RNA is filed under the name uncultured bacterium. RNAcentral's name for it is "partial 16S ribosomal RNA". It matches the Rfam family "Bacterial small subunit ribosomal RNA", at positions 524 to 776 of the family's 1533-position model. The record is from RNAcentral.